UACGGAGGGGGCCAGCGUUGCUCGGAAUUAUUGGGCGUAAAGGGCGCGUAGGCGGUCUGGUAAGUUUGAUGUGAAAUCCCAUGGCUCAACCAUGGAACUGCAUCUCAUACUGCCGGACUUGAGUCUGGGAGAGGGAAGUGGAAUUCCCGGUGUAGCGGUGAAAUGCGUAGAUAUCUGGAGGAACACCGGUGGCGAAGGCGGCGUCCUGGACCAACACUGACACUGAGGAGCGAAAGCCAGGGGAGCAAACGGG
RNAcentral lists this ribosomal RNA (253 nucleotides) under uncultured prokaryote. Its description in RNAcentral is "partial 16S ribosomal RNA". It matches the Rfam family "Bacterial small subunit ribosomal RNA", at positions 524 to 776 of the family's 1533-position model. The record is from RNAcentral.